GAUGAACGCUGGCGGCGUGCUUAACACAUGCAAGUCGAACGGUGAAGGCGGAGCUUGCUCUGCUGGAUCAGUGGCGAACGGGUGAGUAACACGUGAGCAAUCUGCCCCUGACUCUGGGAUAAGCGCUGGAAACGGCGUCUAAUACUGGAUACGAGCUGCGAAGGCAUCUUCAGCAGCUGGAAAGAACUUCGGUCGGGGAUGAGCUCGCGGCCUAUCAGCUUGUUGGUGAGGUAACGGCUCACCAAGGCGUCGACGGGUAGCCGGCCUGAGAGGGUGACCGGCCACACUGGGACUGAGACACGGCCCAGACUCCUACGGGAGGCAGCAGUGGGGAAUAUUGCACAAUGGGCGAAAGCCUGAUGCAGCAACGCCGCGUGAGGGACGACGGCCUUCGGGUUGUAAACCUCUUUUAGCAGGGAAGAAGCGAAAGUGACGGUACCUGCAGAAAAAGCGCCGGCUAACUACGUG
This 468-nucleotide ribosomal RNA is filed under the name uncultured bacterium. RNAcentral describes it as "partial 16S ribosomal RNA". It matches the Rfam family "Bacterial small subunit ribosomal RNA", at positions 28 to 507 of the family's 1533-position model. The record is from RNAcentral.